Molecule: ribosomal RNA, 604 nt
Filed under: Euhadra quaesita
Lineage: Eukaryota; Metazoa; Mollusca; Gastropoda; Stylommatophora; Camaenidae
Description: partial 12S ribosomal RNA
Source: RNAcentral
GUACAUAAUUUUAGACACAUUCAUUUUAUAUUUCUAUUGAAAAUUACAUUUAAGUCCUUCUUCGUACGCUUUUUCAUAGCGGUCUCGGCUAAUAUAAUGUAACUCGCCUAAUCUUCUACAUAGUCUGCACCUUGAUCUGUAAUGUAGUGUAUAACUAUAUGACAAUAUAUUAUAUAUUAUCUGCUGACGACGGCAUACAAAAUAUUACAAGAAGUAGAGUACCUUGGUGGUUAUCAAUUACUUGGUAAGUUCCCCUAAAUUUUAAAAUCACCGCCAUGCUAUUUGAGUUUUAACCAUCUAGGUCUUAGUACUCAGUGGUUUUAUGUGAGUAUUGAAUAAAAGGGUAUCUAAUCCUUGUUUUUUGGCAAUAUUUUUAAUAUCUUUAUGUAAGGUAGUAAAUAAAUAUUAUUUCACCAAUAUUUUUUUGUAAAUAAUUUACACUUGUGUUGUUCAUUACUAUAGAAGUCUGACCGCGACUGCUGGCACUUUUUUAGUCAUAGUAUAUAUAUUGGUUUAAUCUUACUUUCGUAAAUUUAUAAAUUUUCUUGCCUGGUUAAUCCUUUUAGUACCAUAAGUAUCCUACUUUAUAUGAACGUUUCACCAU